Sphaeramia orbicularis (orbiculate cardinalfish) is the source of this 307-nucleotide long non-coding RNA. RefSeq lists it as uncharacterized. The transcript is spliced from 3 exons. The record is from RefSeq and is a predicted model, not a curated record. NCBI's taxonomy places the organism in Eukaryota, Metazoa, Chordata, Actinopteri, Kurtiformes, Apogonidae.
GUAAGGGUUUCUUCACAUUUUCAUCGAAGUUAAAUCGAAGUUUGUCAAAAGUAAAAGGAUGGUAUAUGUUUAGGCUGGUUAUUAUAUAUAUUUUUUUACUAGAAGCCAAAACCGGCUUUUUUAAUACAUUAAGGUUUUUAUUUUUGUGAAAACAAAGGAAAGAAGAGAAGUCACCAUUGUUCGAACUGGAUCAACUAACGCUUCCCAGAUUUCCUGUUCCUGUGUGGAAGAAUUACCGGGAAGGGGAAAAUGGACUAAAAUUCAGGGACAAGUGGGAGUGUCUGGUAUGACCUCAUGGAGCGAUGAG